Molecule: ribosomal RNA, 200 nt
Filed under: uncultured bacterium
Lineage: Bacteria
Description: partial 16S ribosomal RNA
Rfam family: Bacterial small subunit ribosomal RNA
Source: RNAcentral
CUCGUACCGGGCGAAUUCAACGCUUCCUACGGGAGGCAGCAGUGGGGAAUAUUGCACAAUGGGCGAAAGCCUGAUGCAGCAACGCCGCGUGAGGGAUGACGGCCUUCGGGUUGUAAACCUCUUUUAGUAGGGAAGAAGCGUAAGUGACGGUACCUGCAGAAAAAGCACCGGCUAACUACGUGCCAGCAGCCGCGGUAAUA